RNAcentral lists this ribosomal RNA (254 nucleotides) under uncultured bacterium. RNAcentral describes it as "partial 16S ribosomal RNA". It matches the Rfam family "Bacterial small subunit ribosomal RNA", at positions 524 to 776 of the family's 1533-position model. The record is from RNAcentral.
UACGUAGGGUGCAAGCGUUGUCCGGAAUUAUUGGGCGUAAAGAGCUCGUAGGCGGUCUGUCGCGUCUGGUGUGAAAACUCAAGGCUUAACCUUGGGCCUGCAUCGGGUACGGGCAGACUAGAGUGCGGUAGGGGAGACUGGAAUUCCUGGUGUAGCGGUGAAAAUGCGCAGAUAUCAGGAGGAACACCGGUGGCGAAGGCGGCGACCUGGUCCUUGACUGACGCUGAGGCGCGAAAGCGUGGGGAGCAAACAGG